UUGAGGAGGAAACAAAAUGAACGAAGUUCAUUUUCUAUAAACGUUUCCGACGAAUUGCCAACCACCGAAGGUAGGAGGCGUUACAUAUU
RNAcentral lists this small RNA (89 nucleotides) under Eubacterium sp. CAG:161. Its description in RNAcentral is "GA-cis RNA". It matches the Rfam family "GA-cis RNA". The record is from Rfam by way of RNAcentral. Lineage: Bacteria; Bacillati; Bacillota; Clostridia; Eubacteriales; Eubacteriaceae.